RNAcentral lists this ribosomal RNA (465 nucleotides) under Vreelandella stevensii. RNAcentral describes it as "partial 16S ribosomal RNA". It matches the Rfam family "Bacterial small subunit ribosomal RNA", at positions 338 to 795 of the family's 1533-position model. Lineage: Bacteria; Pseudomonadati; Pseudomonadota; Gammaproteobacteria; Oceanospirillales; Halomonadaceae. The record is from RNAcentral.
CCUACGGGUGGCAGCAGUGGGGAAUAUUGGACAAUGGGGGGAACCCUGAUCCAGCCAUGCCGCGUGUGUGAAGAAGGCCCUCGGGUUGUAAAGCACUUUCAGUGAGGAAGAACGCCUGGUGGUUAAUACCCAUCAGGAAAGACAUCACUCACAGAAGAAGCACCGGCUAACCCCGUGCCAGCAGCCGCGGUAAUACGGAGGGUGCGAGCGUUAAUCGGAAUUACUGGGCGUAAAGCGCGCGUAGGUGGCUUGAUAAGCCGGUUGUGAAAGCCCCUGGCUCAACCUGGGAACGGCAUCCGGAACUGUCAAGCUAGAGUGCAGGAGAGGAAGGUAGAAUUCCCGGUGUAGCGGUGAAAUGCGUAGAGAUCGGGAGGAAUACCAGUGGCGAAGGCGGCCUUCUGGACUGACACUGACACUGAGGUGCGAAAGCGUGGGUAGCAAACAGGAUUAGAUACCCUGGUAGUC